UGAGAAUGACGGCUUCCCCAGCCUGAGGACAGCCAGGAAGCAGCACCCAGACCCACAGAUUGAAGAGUGGCCCGCGCCAGAGCAGCCUCAGGUCCCUUCCUGCCUGCUCUUGCAAGCCACUGUCCUGACCUCAACACCACAGGUAAUUAAAAUCCUCCCACUUAGACCGUGUGGUGUCCAUUAUGUGAGCAGAUCAUGCUUGGCAUUUGGGCAGCUUCCAGCUACUCGGGACAGACCAAGGUGGCGUUGGAGGCUUGGCGCACAUCCCCUGGGGAACAAGGGGCAAUGUUGGUGCCACAAAGUGUCCAUCCUUAGUGGAUCUGGCCAUUUUCCAUGUUGGUGAACUGCUUCUUUCUGGCAGCUCACCAGUCCCACAAGCCUUCACGGAGAGCCCGCAUGGAGGACGGGGCCCACAUACUGCCACACCCUGAGCUCAGCUCUUUGCCUCCAUGACCUCUGCCCCUCUUGGAGAAUGGCCGAGAGCCACAUGCAGCCCAGGCAGCAGCAGCUGCAGACCACUGUGCACCUCAGGGCAGUGGCAGGCAGCCCGCCCCACCCCCUGCUUCAGGGCCCCUUAACAGGGAUGUGGAUUUCCACUUCCAUGAACAAGGCCUUUGAGAGGGAUGUUUCUCCCCAUCCCUCCUCUGUCAAGCCUGAGACUUCAAAGGCAUGAGACUGGGGUAGCCUUUGGAAGAGGUGACCACAUCCUUCCUCUCACGAGACCCAGCUGGCGGGCUUAAGAAACCAGACAACCCUGCCUCAGGACUCCCUGUCUUGGACCUCACUGGACACUCCUGCUGCAGGCUUCGUGGGAAGGAGCCCAGUACAGCUGCGCUGGAGACAGUCACCUUUUGGCUUGUGACAGCAGGGAAAGUGGAGAGAGUGGCCUCAGGCUGUCUGUGCCCAGACGAGGCCAGAUGGCGCUAAGGCUGAGUGUACCCUGACCUGGAUGUCCUGGCACCCAGUGCAGCUCCCAGUCUUGCCCCAGAUGGGACAUACUUGGCCCUCACGGAGUAUCCUGGUGCCCACAGGAGGGCAGUGCACAGCAGGCCUGCCCCCCACGGGGAGAGUGGGGCCACUACCUGACCCUCAUGCCCAAGCACAGCUUCUCAGGAAGGGCGUUGGCCACAUCUUGGCAAUGUCAGCCUCCUCUGAAGCCCCUGUCUGGAAGGUGACAGGGAGGUUUGCUCCUGGGUGCCCACCUUGUCUAGCUCAGUGAGAAAGGCCACAGCUGGUCAGCCACCCUGCCCAUCACACAGGUCCUCCUGCUGAGGCCAAGUGGUCCAAAGAGGAGCCAGGCCUGCUUGGCAGCUAGGCCUUCGUGGCGGUUCAGAGGUGUGAGCAACUCUAGGAGCGUGCUCAGCUGUAGCACUACUCAAGCCCAAGUGCACCAUGAGGAGCUGUGGGCUCAGGGCCUCAGGAAGCAGGCCUGCAGCUGAGCCGGUCCCUCGAGCCCAGGGCCCUUCUCUCUGCUCGAAUGCUAGAGUGCUGGCCGUCCACUUCAGAGGUCCCUGGCUCCUGGAUGCAGGAUCCCGUUUCCUGACCCUUCCAGAACUCGGCAGGAUAUUCCUCUGUUGGUUACUAGGGACUGAAAAGCAUGCUAUCCCUGCGCUACACCCCUAGCCCUGGCCUCAGCCUCCCGAGUUGCUGGGAUUACAGGUGUGGCCAACACGCCUGGCUUGGGUCACAUGAUCUGUCCCUCCAGCGGUUAGGCACAAUGGCGCUGAGGCUCUGGUGUGCCCUGGCUGUGUGGCCAGCUGCGAGCCAACCCGGGGGUCUUAUUGGAGCUCCUAGUUAUCCCCAGAACAAAUGUCCAUUAACCUGUCCUAUACCCCCCAAUCUGCCCUCAACAACUUUCUUCCUAAA
This is a non-coding RNA of Ictidomys tridecemlineatus (thirteen-lined ground squirrel), 1866 nucleotides long. The record is from RefSeq and is a predicted model, not a curated record. Lineage: Eukaryota; Metazoa; Chordata; Mammalia; Rodentia; Sciuridae.